UAGAAAAUAAUAUAAAGGAAGUAUGGAGGGUUUUGAUCCCUUCAGUGCGGGUUCAAUUCCUGCUUUUCUAA
This 71-nucleotide transfer RNA is filed under the name Tregellasia leucops (white-faced robin). RNAcentral's name for it is "tRNA-Gln". It matches the Rfam family "tRNA". From Rfam's summary of the family: Transfer RNA (tRNA) molecules are approximately 80 nucleotides in length. Their secondary structure includes four short double-helical elements and three loops (D, anti-codon, and T loops). RNAcentral also lists the same sequence under 1 other name. Lineage: Eukaryota; Metazoa; Chordata; Aves; Passeriformes; Petroicidae. The record is from RNAcentral.